Molecule: ribosomal RNA, 540 nt
Filed under: Bifidobacterium catenulatum
Lineage: Bacteria; Bacillati; Actinomycetota; Actinomycetes; Bifidobacteriales; Bifidobacteriaceae
Also listed under: 1 other name
Description: bacterial SSU rRNA
Rfam family: Bacterial small subunit ribosomal RNA
Source: RNAcentral
UCUCCUGGAAAACGGGUGGUAAUGCCGGAUGCUCCGACUCCUCGCAUGGGGUGUCGGGAAAGAUUUCAUCGGUAUGGGAUGGGGUCGCGUCCUAUCAGGUAGUCGGCGGGGUAACGGCCCACCGAGCCUACGACGGGUAGCCGGCCUGAGAGGGCGACCGGCCACAUUGGGACUGAGAUACGGCCCAGACUCCUACGGGAGGCAGCAGUGGGGAAUAUUGCACAAUGGGCGCAAGCCUGAUGCAGCGACGCCGCGUGCGGGAUGACGGCCUUCGGGUUGUAAACCGCUUUUGAUCGGGAGCAAGCCUUCGGGUGAGUGUACCUUUCGAAUAAGCACCGGCUAACUACGUGCCAGCAGCCGCGGUAAUACGUAGGGUGCAAGCGUUAUCCGGAAUUAUUGGGCGUAAAGGGCUCGUAGGCGGUUCGUCGCGUCCGGUGUGAAAGUCCAUCGCUUAACGGUGGAUCUGCGCCGGGUACGGGCGGGCUGGAGUGCGGUAGGGGAGACUGGAAUUCCCGGUGUAACGGUGGAAUGUGUAGAUAU